This 4369-nucleotide long non-coding RNA is filed under the name Triticum aestivum (bread wheat). RNAcentral's name for it is "long non-coding RNA (TAES_LNC020093)". The record is from RNAcentral. Lineage: Eukaryota; Viridiplantae; Streptophyta; Magnoliopsida; Poales; Poaceae.
GAGAGAGAGCUGCCAUUAGAUGGAAACCUAUAUAAGAAAGAGCCAGGAACAUGAGUGGGAGCAACGAAGCUGAGUAUAAUAACUGGCCGCUGCUAAAGGUAGACUAAGGGCGUAGGUGAAGACCUAGCAGAGGGCGAGCUGCGGCUUCCGGCCGUCGAGCUGCAACUACUUCCUGCCAACGUCCUCAUCCAUAUCUACGUCCCCUCACUUCACACCACCUUGUCACUGACCUUUUCAUGACAGAGAUAUACAAAAACUGAGAUGGAAUCCAGUUGACAUAAGAUAUUCAGCCAAACAAACUGUUAGUGACUUCUUCAGAAAAAGAGAUGUACAUCAAAGUAAGCAGAGCUUCUAGCAGAAACAUCAUAUACAGGUACAUGCUGAUCACAAAACUGGGAGUUUUAUGUGAGAACGGAACCUGGCAAUCUAUAUCAAAAAGAUAUCUUAACUGAAAAUUUAAGCAACACAAGAAUAUCACACUUGAGUGGUUAUAAUUACUUACGGAUUCAGAUUCUUACUUUUCUUGUAGAGGCCUACUAUCCUUAAUUACUUGGAGCAAAUUUAACUUAGACCAAAUAUCUAAGAGUAAGCUUUGGUUGAUGCAAAGGUCUGAAGCUUUUAGCAUUCUAUAAAGGGCUUAUGAUUGUGCAAAAGUUACAGCUAUAGGAAUUACGUAACCACAAACCAACAGGAUAUAUACAAAGUAACCACUGCCACCUUGUCGAACCCCACUCCGCCGGUCCUCUUCCUCGUCGGCCCUGGCGUAAGAUGGUUAACAUGGUUAACGUCACAAAAGGGCAUGGAUGUUCCCUUGUUUAGUAUCUGAAACAUGUUUAUCCCGAGGAUAGUAAAACAAGGCUUCAUACCUGUAACAACGAAAGAUGGCACAGAAGUCGAGAACUAAAUUUUUCACAGAAAAAAUAGAACAAACUUAUGCACACAUAAACAAUACACAGAAGAUUAACAGAAGAGCCCUCAGUUACUCUGUGGUGUGCAAACCAAAAUGCAAGUUAGCUUAUUUUCAGUUUACUCUGUGGUGUGCAAACCAAAUAAGGAAUGCACCAUACACAAUACACAGAAGAUUAACAAGUAUAAACUGAAUAGUUCCAUCUGCCUAAUGCAAAGAAGCACAUUUUUCUAUAUUUAGCUACAUCUCCCAGAUUCAGUAACAAACUUAUGCACACAUAAGCCUUGUUAAAUGAAAGUAGUCGCAAAAUCAUUAAUUAGGAGACAAAAUAAUUUUCUGGAACUUGUGGCAUGGUGCACUAAAAUGGGCAGCCUGACGUCCUGCUUGUGACAUGACGCCCAAGAAACGGUAAUUUUGUUCCACUAUUAGGAAAGAAACAGAGAAAUAGCACUUCAAAGAAAGAAAACUAAAUGACUAAUGUUUGUGUAGUGUGCAGGCCUCGGUGUGCGCACCUCCUGAGACUUAUAGCAACAACAUCAUACAGAUAUGAUGUAUCAGGAGCAAUUGUUUUCCUCUAGUUACCAUUUUAUUCAGUAUUUUGUCCAAUCUCAAAAUCUGAGAUAUGCCCGUAUCCAACUAUUAAUAAGUUAACUUGCAACUGUUGGCACAAAAAAGAUGCAGCUUGAUAACAGAAGAGCCCUCAGUUAUCCGCUUUUGAUGAAGGUCAGCAGUAGCGGGGCGUGGCGGCGGGCCGGCGGCCAUGCCCGAGCACCCGGCGUCCGCAGAGCCGAGGAGGAAAAGACGAGCGAGUGUGGUGGAUGCGUGCACCAUGGAUGACCUCCUUUCCUCCAUGGUCCACCGCCUCCAGGCAUCCGCCUCAUCGGCCGAUCUGGUUGACAGGCAGAGCAAAAAGGAGCAUGGCGGCCAUGGCGUGGGCGCGAUCAAGCAAACUUUUGGAAGAGGGGAACAGAGGCGCGGCAUUGAAUAGACAUAUACCUGAAAGUGAACAUUUGUUGACUUGAUAAGUUGAGCGUUGAAGCAGAAAUCGUAGAUCAUGCUAAAGAAUUAGCUCCUCUCUGUCAAAAUGUUAGGGAAAAGGUCACACGAUUAGCUCAUGUGUAUCAAAUUUUAGGUAAGUAUGUCUUGUACUGUAUUAAGUCAACAUGCUACAAAAUUUAACCAAAAAUUAUAACAGGAUGCAAAAUCAAAGGAGGUGUACAAGGAGGGAAAGGUAGCAAUGAUAUAUCUCUACCCAAUUUUGAACUUACCUAUCAACAUAAGACAUUAUCUUAAUAAUGGGCAGAUUCUGCAAGCAAACCAUUUUUCGCAAGAAAGGGGUAAAAUCAAGCAGUUUACACAACUACAAAUGAUUUUCAGCCAAGCAGAUGAAAAAAGGACAAAAUUACCCAUGAUUAAAAGAUAUAAUUAUUAAAGUUUUCACUGAGACCAUGAUAUAAUCUAUAAAAGUUAAAGUAUCUAGUUGUCAGGAAACCUGUCUUUGAUAUGACUGAUAAUGGUGAAGGUGUAACCUUAGAAACUGCUUCAGUGUCCAAAAAAAUUCAGAUAGAUCUGUACUCAAUUGUCAUUAAGCCUUUUACAUGGUUAGUAGAAUUCCUUGUGAUAUAUAAUGCGACUAAUUACUCUCACAGUUAAAACAGGAGAUAUCAAGUCCAAGGAAGCACAUGAGGUCAAGUGCAAGCAUGGAAUCACUGCCUAUUGUUCUUAAUUAAAACCAAAAUCAGUAAAAAAAAAAGUAGCACUGCAGAGGACCUUCAAGUUAUAUUUCUCAUGAGCAGCUUCCAACACUGAAACCCCAAUAAGAGCAUUAAUAAUCUUUUCGUCGCCAGCAUUGACACCCCAAUACGAACAAAUGUCACAUAUAUCCUGCAAAGUAAAUUCCUGUUAUUGGUACUGAAUUGCCAAUGGGGUGACAAAACAAUAUAAUUUUCAACCAAAAGAAUGCACUACCCAUCAGAUAUUAAGCAGUAAAUCAGCUCAAGAGAAAAGGGCAUGGAAUCCUGACCAGAUGAUUAAGUUCUGGUAUAAACUGCAGGUACCACAAACUCAAGCCAAUACAACGAUAUGCAAGAAUCAUGUGGAGAUGACGAGAGAAGAAAUAAAAGGAAACUCACAGGAAGUGCAGAUCAUGGUGAGAGAGAGAGAAAAGGACCUGUAGGUCGAGCAGAUGCCGUCGGAAUCAGAAAAACCAGAGAGGAGGACGACCUCAUGUGGACGAAAUUUCAACAACAAAAAACUGUGCAAAUCUGAAGUAUCACAAUUAAAUUUUUAGUCUGUUGUUUAAAUCUGUACAUUACAUGACCAAUGUAUAAUAGUACCCUACCUUCUUCUAAAUGGCUCUUAUGAUUCUUUUAGAGUGCAGACCAAUGAGAUUAACUAAUUCCAUUAGAGACGACAAUAGCAGCAAGAAAGCAUCAUAGUUCAAGUUAUGCAACUACCAACCUGUGUUUUAUUGAAACAGAAGAAACUUAGCUUAAGUAUACAACUUCCAGACUACAGAAGCAGCAAAAAGCAUCAUGGUUUAGGCUUUGCAACUACCAAAAUGUGAUCUCAUGCGAAAAAGGACAAUAAAUUGUUCAGCUUAGCUUCAUGUUUCAGCUUACACAACUACCAAAAUGUCAGUCUAAGCCAUUGUUUAAUGCUUUCAGGAAAAGGAUUACGAGAAAGGUCACCCAUUAAUGUGAUUCAGAUCCAGCCUACCACAAGGUCAGAGAAGUUAAUCGUCAUUCACGUUGGCAUCAUCCGCUGCACCGUUUUGCUCCUGCAGUACUGUUUUUUAUUUCUUUCAAAAAAGUACUGAUUUUUAUCUAGUUUCUUCUGUUAUGCUCCAGGCUUCAUUUUUUUGAUUUUGAAGAUUGCAGGUAGCAGAGAAAUUAGCUAAAGACCUUAACGAUGCAGAUCCUAAACCAGUAGUGCUAACUGCUGACCGAUGCCAAUAAAUUAACUACCACUAUUUUCUUCCCCCAAAAAACCCACAAACAUUUAACCAAAGCAUCAAAUUCGUCACCCAAAUUACCCUAAACACAUAAGAACAACAGUUCAGACUUCAGUAAAUGCUACAACACCCAGCGGCAAUCAAAUUUAAACAUCCAUAGUGCAUACUUCAUAGGCACUGAUCCUAAUAAAGAUAUCUUGCUAGUCUGCUACUGUAAAAAAAACAUGCAUUUAAGUUAGAUCCGCCCAUGAAUACAGGUAAGGAUCCAUGACAACCAAAACUGAACCAAGCUUUUUCUACUUCAUUUUGAACCUCAAUCAAGACUUUUCCUUUUUGAAACUCAAUCAAACCACGAAAGAUUGACAAUGUGAGGAACUAAGGAAGAGGAAUUGAGGACUUACCAUAUUGGAGUCUUGGAGAUGGACGAGAUGAGUAGUGAACUGACACGCUCGCCAGCCGCUACAGAAGACACCUCGCCGGCGCACCCAACACUGCGGAGGCUGCCCGAG